AGGACGAACGCUGGCGGCGUGCUUAACACAUGCAAGUCGAGCGGUAAGGCCCUUUCGGGGGUACACGAGCGGCGAACGGGUGAGUAACACGUGAGCAAUCUGCCCUUCACUUCGGGAUAAGCCUCGGAAACGGGGUCUAAUACCGGAUAUGACUGCGCCAUGCAUGUGGUGUGGUGGAAAGUUCUGGCGGUGAGGGAUGAGCUCGCGGCCUAUCAGCUUGUUGGUGGGGUAAUGGCCUACCAAGGCUUCGACGGGUAGCCGGCCUGAGAGGGUGACCGGCCACACUGGGACUGAGACACGGCCCAGACUCCUACGGGAGGCAGCAGUGGGGAAUAUUGGACAAUGGGCGAAAGCCUGAUCCAGCAACGCCGCGUGAGGGAUG
RNAcentral lists this ribosomal RNA (382 nucleotides) under uncultured soil bacterium. RNAcentral describes it as "bacterial SSU rRNA". It matches the Rfam family "Bacterial small subunit ribosomal RNA", at positions 26 to 410 of the family's 1533-position model. The record is from RNAcentral.